Molecule: long non-coding RNA, 1119 nt
Organism: Candoia aspera
Lineage: Eukaryota; Metazoa; Chordata; Lepidosauria; Squamata; Candoiidae
Exons: 3
Source: RefSeq, a predicted model, not a curated record
CUUGUCAGCAUGCAUGAAGAGUUAGAUUGUAAAUCAGAGGUGUGUAGAAUGAUUCAAACGUAAGCCAUUUUGAGUGGUUUGUUCUUGAAAUGAAACACCUGUGUACUGAAAGCAGGUUUCGAGAACAGAACAAUACAUGGUGUUUAGUUGCCCUUCUUGAGUGGGGCUACUUACAAGUGUCCCCUACUGUUCCUGGUGACUUGAUUAUUCUUAUAUCUUGCAAUUAGAACUAUUGCUAUUGGCUAAGGCCAAGUGGGUUGAUUUGGUGUGGUCAUGAAAUACUGAGGAGCAGGAAAAGCAGACCCAUUCUGGAUCUGAUUCAACUGUUUGUGGGAGAUUAAGAGAGAAUGAGGAAUGAGUCCAUUGGGUUGGGUGGCUAAUAAAUUUAAAUAGAUAAAUAUGUGAGCAACCUAUGACUAAACUUCUGUUGCAAAAGCUGUUGAAUAUAAACUUAACUGUCUGCAAAGAAAAUUCUGGGUUGUCACUGAAACAUUAUGAACCUCACUGCUGUGAGAACAAGUGCUGGCAAGGUUGAAAGCCCAAGGACUGAGACCAGACUAAUCUGGGACACUAACAACAAACAGGUGCCAACUACUUCUCGGGUUGAGAGAUAUGCAGAGUAUUAUAAUAUAUGGGUUUCUCAGAAUAUGUGGUUGACCAUGGAAGAAACAGAAUGCUGGACUGGAUACACCAUUACCUACCCAGCAAAGCUAUUGUUAUUAUAUCACUACUGGUGUGGCAUUUGUUCAGUGGCAUUGCAUGAUGGCACACAAAACUACCUCUCAAGACAAGAUGCAACACAAGGGUACAAAGACCUGCAGGCUGAAGCAAAGUAUUGGCUUAUUCUGCCUAAUGAAGCUCUCCCAAAGCUGAUUCAUCUUCAUAAGCAGCCUCAUUAAACAACACAUGACUGGCAGCUGUUCAAAGCCUCAGAAAGCUGCCAGGCUCAUGCUGCCUAAUGGGGCUGCACACAGGGAUUGACACAAAUUCUCCCUUGAGUCUGUAAGACUCAGGGGCCAAGCAAAGGGUUUAGUGAACCCCUUGGUCCUUCUCAUCCACCCAUGCUUUAUAACAGACUGAGGAAAGAGCAGUGACACCUUAACCCAGUGUUUCUCAACC